This 2932-nucleotide ribosomal RNA is filed under the name Escherichia coli. RNAcentral describes it as "bacterial LSU rRNA". It matches the Rfam family "Bacterial large subunit ribosomal RNA". The record is from RNAcentral. Lineage: Bacteria; Pseudomonadati; Pseudomonadota; Gammaproteobacteria; Enterobacterales; Enterobacteriaceae.
GGGUUGUGAGGUUAAGCGACUAAGCGUACACGGUGGAUGCCCUGGCAGUCAGAGGCGAUGAAGGACGUGCUAAUCUGCGAUAAGCGUCGGUAAGGUGAUAUGAACCGUUAUAACCGGCGAUUUCCGAAUGGGGAAACCCAGUGUGAUUCGUCACACUAUCAUUAACUGAAUCCAUAGGUUAAUGAGGCGAACCGGGGGAACUGAAACAUCUAAGUACCCCGAGGAAAAGAAAUCAACCGAGAUUCCCCCAGUAGCGGCGAGCGAACGGGGAGCAGCCCAGAGCCUGAAUCAGUGUGUGUGUUAGUGGAAGCGUCUGGAAAGGCGCGCGAUACAGGGUGACAGCCCCGUACACAAAAAUGCACAUACUGUGAGCUCGAUGAGUAGGGCGGGACACGUGGUAUCCUGUCUGAAUAUGGGGGGACCAUCCUCCAAGGCUAAAUACUCCUGACUGACCGAUAGUGAACCAGUACCGUGAGGGAAAGGCGAAAAGAACCCCGGCGAGGGGAGUGAAAAAGAACCUGAAACCGUGUACGUACAAGCAGUGGGAGCACAGAGCAAUCUGUGUGACUGCGUACCUUUUGUAUAAUGGGUCAGCGACUUAUAUUCUGUAGCAAGGUUAACCGAAUAGGGGAGCCGAAGGGAAACCGAGUCUUAACUGGGCGUUAAGUUGCAGGGUAUAGACCCGAAACCCGGUGAUCUAGCCAUGGGCAGGUUGAAGGUUGGGUAACACUAACUGGAGGACCGAACCGACUAAUGUUGAAAAAUUAGCGGAUGACUUGUGGCUGGGGGUGAAAGGCCAAUCAAACCGGGAGAUAGCUGGUUCUCCCCGAAAGCUAUUUAGGUAGCGCCUCGUGAAUUCAUCUCCGGGGGUAGAGCACUGUUUCGGCAAGGGGGUCAUCCCGACUUACCAACCCGAUGCAAACUGCGAAUACCGGAGAAUGUUAUCACGGGAGACACACGGCGGGUGCUAACGUCCGUCGUGAAGAGGGAAACAACCCAGACCGCCAGCUAAGGUCCCAAAGUCAUGGUUAAGUGGGAAACGAUGUGGGAAGGCCCAGACAGCCAGGAUGUUGGCUUAGAAGCAGCCAUCAUUUAAAGAAAGCGUAAUAGCUCACUGGUCGAGUCGGCCUGCGCGGAAGAUGUAACGGGGCUAAACCAUGCACCGAAGCUGCGGCAGCGACGCUGAUGCGUUGUUGGGUAGGGGAGCGUUCUGUAAGCCUGUGAAGGUGUGCUGUGAGGCAUGCUGGAGGUAUCAGAAGUGCGAAUGCUGACAUAAGUAACGAUAAAGCGGGUGAAAAGCCCGCUCGCCGGAAGACCAAGGGUUCCUGUCCAACGUUAAUCGGGGCAGGGUGAGUCGACCCCUAAGGCGAGGCCGAAAGGCGUAGUCGAUGGGAAACAGGUUAAUAUUCCUGUACUUGGUGUUACUGCGAAGGGGGACGGAGAAGGCUAUGUUGGCCGGGCGACGGUUGUCCCGGUUUAAGCGUGUAGGCUGGUUUUCCAGGCAAAUCCGGAAAAUCAAGGCUGAGGCGUGAUGACGAGGCACUACGGUGCUGAAGCAACAAAUGCCCUGCUUCCAGGAAAAGCCUCUAAGCAUCAGGUAACAUCAAAUCGUACCCCAAACCGACACAGGUGGUCAGGUAGAGAAUACCAAGGCGCUUGAGAGAACUCGGGUGAAGGAACUAGGCAAAAUGGUGCCGUAACUUCGGGAGAAGGCACGCUGAUAUGUAGGUGAAGUCCCUCGCGGAUGGAGCUGAAAUCAGUCGAAGAUACCAGCUGGCUGCAACUGUUUAUUAAAAACACAGCACUGUGCAAACACGAAAGUGGACGUAUACGGUGUGACGCCUGCCCGGUGCCGGAAGGUUAAUUGAUGGGGUCAGCGCAAGCGAAGCUCUUGAUCGAAGCCCCGGUAAACGGCGGCCGUAACUAUAACGGUCCUAAGGUAGCGAAAUUCCUUGUCGGGUAAGUUCCGACCUGCACGAAUGGCGUAAUGAUGGCCAGGCUGUCUCCACCCGAGACUCAGUGAAAUUGAACUCGCUGUGAAGAUGCAGUGUACCCGCGGCAAGACGGAAAGACCCCGUGAACCUUUACUAUAGCUUGACACUGAACAUUGAGCCUUGAUGUGUAGGAUAGGUGGGAGGCUUUGAAGUGUGGACGCCAGUCUGCAUGGAGCCGACCUUGAAAUACCACCCUUUAAUGUUUGAUGUUCUAACGUUGACCCGUAAUCCGGGUUGCGGACAGUGUCUGGUGGGUAGUUUGACUGGGGCGGUCUCCUCCUAAAGAGUAACGGAGGAGCACGAAGGUUGGCUAAUCCUGGUCGGACAUCAGGAGGUUAGUGCAAUGGCAUAAGCCAGCUUGACUGCGAGCGUGACGGCGCGAGCAGGUGCGAAAGCAGGUCAUAGUGAUCCGGUGGUUCUGAAUGGAAGGGCCAUCGCUCAACGGAUAAAAGGUACUCCGGGGAUAACAGGCUGAUACCGCCCAAGAGUUCAUAUCGACGGCGGUGUUUGGCACCUCGAUGUCGGCUCAUCACAUCCUGGGGCUGAAGUAGGUCCCAAGGGUAUGGCUGUUCGCCAUUUAAAGUGGUACGCGAGCUGGGUUUAGAACGUCGUGAGACAGUUCGGUCCCUAUCUGCCGUGGGCGCUGGAGAACUGAGGGGGGCUGCUCCUAGUACGAGAGGACCGGAGUGGACGCAUCACUGGUGUUCGGGUUGUCAUGCCAAUGGCACUGCCCGGUAGCUAAAUGCGGAAGAGAUAAGUGCUGAAAGCAUCUAAGCACGAAACUUGCCCCGAGAUGAGUUCUCCCUGACCCUUUAAGGGUCCUGAAGGAACGUUGAAGACGACGACGUUGAUAGGCCGGGUGUGUAAGCGCAGCGAUGCGUUGAGCUAACCGGUACUAAUGAACCGUGAGGCUUAACCUUACAACGCCGAAGGUGUUU